CUUUCGGUAGCAGACUUUCCAUCUUCACCCACAGAACGGACCGCUGACGUCCCCGAUCGCUGCGGAAGAUCUUGUUUGUGAGCCUGCAACACGACCUCCUGGGAAGGGCUUUCGGGAGGAGGAAACUACUGAACAAGGGUGAGGCAGUCGCGCACCGUGGCUCGUGGCUCUCUCUUACCUCCUUCCUAGCUGCAGUCAGGGAAAGAAAGCUCGCCCGCUUUCUCUCUCUCCACAAGUCGCCUUAGCCACUCUGCCACCACCUCUCUAGCCACAAAAUAGACCCAGAAAUUCCAAGCGGUUGUGUCGCAGAAGACUGGAAUUCCAGCACUUACGCUCGGGAAUCUGCGACUGGAGAAUUCCGAGGAGAUGGGUCUGGGCUGUUUUGAGUUCCAACAGUCAGCUUAAGACUAAAUAGGUAGAUCCUUUAUAGACCUUGCUUUAAAAGGGCAGGCGGACCGGUGAGCGGGCGAGGGGGAGGGGAGGACAGGACACCCUAGAGGCUGUUUGUCACUCCCCUCCCUGGAGGAGAUUCCAGUCUAAGCUUCCCUAGCAUCCGCCUACACCGACUGCAGAAAACGCUGCGCAAAUACUAACCUUCACCUAACUGGCUAAGAGUUUCUCAGGGGUCCACGUCCCACGCCGCUGUGAUGAACGGCCUUACUAGAACGAAGAAGGGAAAAUCCUGCACGCGUAUUCCACUGCAGGACAACCAGUUUUAACAAUAAGCGUGAGAAAAGAUAUUGAGAGCAGCAGUUUGCAAAGCGACUGACUAGGAUCCAAACCAUCACCGAGUCGGCCCUCAAUUCUUAGAAGGACCAAACUCUUACUGUUGACAGUCGGGAGUCAGUUUGGGAGCUGGAAAAAGUGAGAGAGCUAGCAAAAUGAACUGAAAGUAUUUACAGCAAAUAUUGCAGAGAAAGCUGCCCUCACCUCCAGAAGGGGUGGAGGAAGAAGGAAGCCGGCCUUAAAGACUGUACAAGUUUGUUCUCUGAGCCUCCUGCCAGCCCCCCCUCCAGGUUCCUGACUCCUGUUCAUACAGGGACUCUUCUGAAGAUCAGAAUGCAAAGCUCCUCUCUGUGGCCAUAUACAAGCCUAUCUCUCAUGCCACAUGUCAAGGAGCCAACGCAGAUCAUAACAGUUGCUGAAUAUGACUACAGCACUUGAGCAUUCUAGAAUUGGAAAAAAAAAAAAAAAAAAAAAAACAACCACUGUGUGUUUAAGGGCUCAUUGGAUCCAUUGCAAAUGACCUGAGCUUAAACGCCAUUGUCUCCAUAAGUUCCCAACUUCACUGCUGGACAGAGUGACAUUUGGAGUAUCCAGGUAUUGGCACUGAGCCAGAAACAGUAUCAGCAUUCCCUGGAAGUCUGACUAUUUACAUUGCAUUCGAUGCAUGGUCACUUCAUGGAUCCCUUUGGGGAAGAUGGAGAAACACAUUAGUAAGCACGGAUCUUGUCAGGGUUCUAGCAGCCUGGCUUUCCAGAGGUUCUAGGUCUGCACACUGGCGCAAGUUCAAGAAUCCAGUGAAGGAUCAUGACUGUUGUGAUUCAAGCUGGACUUCAGUGCUCUGUUUAAAUCACAUGGACAUACAGUAAAGCACUGGUCUGUUUCAUUAUAAACCACAAUUCAGUGCUAAGCCAGCUAUUCUGAUACAGUUACCACAUCUUACACAGCACAUCUUUAGGGAUUAAUAUACCCUCUUAGCUUUUGCCUCCCGGAAUUCCAUUAUUCCCAUUGCAUUCGUGGGUCUUGUUUCAAUGGCAACAGCUCUCAUUUUAAAUGCUGAUCUACAGAGAAGAGGACACAAAGAGAUAUUAAGAGAUUCUAGGGCCUCCAGCGACCAGUUUGGUGUCAAUAGUCUGUACUUAGGGACAUGUUGAUGUUCAUGGUCUGUGUUGCCACCAGAAAGCAUGUGGAAGUCCAUGAUCUGUGCAGGCCCUGGCUGUUAUGUGGCAGUGGUAUGGAUGACUGCAGACAAUGAGAGAUGCUAAAGGCUUUUAUGACAACCCCCACCCCAAAAGAAACACUACAGACAGAAAGCCAUUAAAAAGAAUCCUUUACAAUUGUGCUAA
Molecule: long non-coding RNA, 2069 nt
Organism: Mus musculus (house mouse)
Lineage: Eukaryota; Metazoa; Chordata; Mammalia; Rodentia; Muridae
Product: RIKEN cDNA 4930458D05 gene
Exons: 2
Source: RefSeq, marked validated